GACGAACGCUGGCGGCGUGCUUAACACAUGCAAGUCGAACGGUAAGGCCCUUCGGGGUACACGAGUGGCGAACGGGUGAGUAACACGUGGGUGAACUGCCCUGCACUUCGGGAUAAGCCUGGGAAACUGGGUCUAAUACCGGAUAGGACCACUGCCUGCAUGGGUGGUGGUGGAAAGCUUUUGCGGUGUGGGAUGGGCCCGCGGCCUAUCAGCUUGUUGGUGGGGUGAUGGCCUACCAAGGCGACGACGGGUAGCCGGCCGGAGAGGGUGACCGGCCACACUGGGACUGGGAUACGGCCCAGACUCCUACGGGAGGCAGCAGUGGGGAAUAUUGCACAAUGGGCGCAAGCCUGAUGCAGCGACGCCGCGUGAGGGAUGACGGCCUUCGGGUUGUAAACCUCUUUCAGCACCGACGAAGCGUAAGUGACGGUAGGUGCAGAAGAAGGACCGGCCAACUACGUGCCAGCAGCCGCGGUAA
This 478-nucleotide ribosomal RNA is filed under the name uncultured bacterium. RNAcentral describes it as "partial 16S ribosomal RNA". It matches the Rfam family "Bacterial small subunit ribosomal RNA", at positions 28 to 523 of the family's 1533-position model. The record is from RNAcentral.